ACCGCCGCGUGAGUGAUGAAGGCUUUCGGGUCGUAAAACUCUGUUGUUAGGGAAGAACAAGUGCUAGUUGAAUAAGCUGGCACCUUGACGGUACCUAACCAGAAAGCCACGGCUAACUACGUGCCAGCAGCCGCGGUAAUACGUAGGUGGCAAGCGUUAUCCGGAAUUAUUGGGCGUAAAGCGCGCGCAGGUGGUUUCUUAAGUCUGAUGUGAAAGCCCACGGCUCAACCGUGGAGGGUCAUUGGAAACUGGGAGACUUGAGUGCAGAAGAGGAAAGUGGAAUUCCAUGUGUAGCGGUGAAAUGCGUAGAGAUAUGGAGGAACACCAGUGGCGAAGGCGACUUUCUGGUCUGUAACUGACACUGAGGCGCGAAAGCGUGGGGAGCAAACAGGAUUAGAUACCCUGGUAGUCCACGCCGUAAACGAUGAGUGCUAAGUGUUAGAGGGUUUCCGCCCUUUAGUGCUGAAGUUAACGCAUUAAGCACUCCGCCUGGGGAGUACGGCCGCAAGGCUGAAACUCAAAUG
This 524-nucleotide ribosomal RNA is filed under the name Bacillus thuringiensis. RNAcentral describes it as "bacterial SSU rRNA". It matches the Rfam family "Bacterial small subunit ribosomal RNA", at positions 393 to 907 of the family's 1533-position model. The record is from RNAcentral. Lineage: Bacteria; Bacillati; Bacillota; Bacilli; Caryophanales; Bacillaceae.